RNAcentral lists this ribosomal RNA (464 nucleotides) under Escherichia coli. Its description in RNAcentral is "partial 23S ribosomal RNA". It matches the Rfam family "Bacterial large subunit ribosomal RNA", at positions 2180 to 2643 of the family's 2925-position model. The record is from RNAcentral. Lineage: Bacteria; Pseudomonadati; Pseudomonadota; Gammaproteobacteria; Enterobacterales; Enterobacteriaceae.
AUGGAGCCGACCUUGAAAUACCACCCUUUAAUGUUUGAUGUUCUAACGUUGACCCGUAAUCCGGGUUGCGGACAGUGUCUGGUGGGUAGUUUGACUGGGGCGGUCUCCUCCUAAAGAGUAACGGAGGAGCACGAAGGUUGGCUAAUCCUGGUCGGACAUCAGGAGGUUAGUGCAAUGGCAUAAGCCAGCUUGACUGCGAGCGUGACGGCGCGAGCAGGUGCGAAAGCAGGUCAUAGUGAUCCGGUGGUUCUGAAUGGAAGGGCCAUCGCUCAACGGAUAAAAGGUACUCCGGGGAUAACAGGCUGAUACCGCCCAAGAGUUCAUAUCGACGGCGGUGUUUGGCACCUCGAUGUCGGCUCAUCACAUCCUGGGGCUGAAGUAGGUCCCAAGGGUAUGGCUGUUCGCCAUUUAAAGUGGUACGCGAGCUGGGUUUAGAACGUCGUGAGACAGUUCGGUCCCUAUCU